RNAcentral lists this ribosomal RNA (2916 nucleotides) under Vibrio parahaemolyticus. RNAcentral's name for it is "bacterial LSU rRNA". It matches the Rfam family "Bacterial large subunit ribosomal RNA". The record is from RNAcentral. Lineage: Bacteria; Pseudomonadati; Pseudomonadota; Gammaproteobacteria; Vibrionales; Vibrionaceae.
GUUGUAUGGUUAAGUGACUAAGCGUACACGGUGGAUGCCUUGGCAGUCAGAGGCGAUGAAAGACGUAGUAACUUGCGAUAAGCCCAGAUUAGGUAGUAACAACCAUUUGAGUCUGGGAUUUCUGAAUGGGGAAACCCACGUGCAUAAGCACGUAUCCUUACCUGAAUACAUAGGGUAAGGAGGCGAACCGGGGGAACUGAAACAUCUAAGUACCCCGAGGAAAAGAAAUCAACCGAGAUUCCGAAAGUAGCGGCGAGCGAAAUUGGACUAGCCCUUAAGCUUUACACGCGUUAGACGAACGGUCUGGAAAGUCCGACGAUACAGGGUGAUAGUCCCGUAGUUGACGACGUGUGUUCAGUGAAAUCGAGUAGGGCGGGACACGUGAUAUCCUGUCUGAAUAUGGGGGGACCAUCCUCCAAGGCUAAAUACUACUGACUGACCGAUAGUGAACCAGUACCGUGAGGGAAAGGCGAAAAGAACCCCUGUGAGGGGAGUGAAAUAGAACCUGAAACCGUGUACGUACAAGCAGUAGGAGCAGGCUUUGUCCUGUGACUGCGUACCUUUUGUAUAAUGGGUCAGCGACUUAUAUUCAGUGGCAAGGUUAACCAUCUAGGGGAGCCGUAGGGAAACCGAGUCUUAACUGGGCGUUCAGUCUCUGGAUAUAGACCCGAAACCAGGUGAUCUAGCCAUGGGCAGGUUGAAGGUUGAGUAACAUCAACUGGAGGACCGAACCGACUAAUGUUGAAAAAUUAGCGGAUGACUUGUGGCUAGGGGUGAAAGGCCAAUCAAACCUGGAGAUAGCUGGUUCUCCCCGAAAGCUAUUUAGGUAGCGCCUCGGACGAAUACUACUGGGGGUAGAGCACUGUUAAGGCUAGGGGGUCAUCCCGACUUACCAACCCUUUGCAAACUCCGAAUACCAGUAAGUACUAUCCGGGAGACACACGGCGGGUGCUAACGUCCGUCGUGGAGAGGGAAACAACCCAGACCGCCAGCUAAGGUCCCAAAUUACUACUAAGUGGGAAACGAUGUGGGAAGGCUCAGACAGCCAGGAUGUUGGCUUAGAAGCAGCCAUCAUUUAAAGAAAGCGUAAUAGCUCACUGGUCGAGUCGGCCUGCGCGGAAGAUGUAACGGGGCUAAGUAGUAAACCGAAGCUGCGGCAAUAUACUUUUGUAUAUUGGGUAGGGGAGCGUUCUGUAAGCGGUUGAAGGUGUGUGGUAACGCAUGCUGGACGUAUCAGAAGUGCGAAUGCUGACAUGAGUAACGAUAAAGGGGGUGAAAAACCUCCUCGCCGGAAGACCAAGGGUUCCUGUCCAACGUUAAUCGGGGCAGGGUAAGUCGACCCCUAAGGCGAGGCCGAAAGGCGUAGUCGAUGGGAAACGGGUUAAUAUUCCCGUACUUCUUACAAUUGCGAUGGGGGGACGGAGAAGGCUAGGUGGGCCUGGCGACGGUUGUCCAGGUUCAAGUGCGUAGGCUUAAGAGUUAGGUAAAUCCGGCUCUUUCUAAGGCUGAGACACGACGUCGAGCACCUACGGGUGUGAAGUCAUUGAUGCCAUGCUUCCAGGAAAAGCCUCUAAGCUUCAGAUUGUAAGGAAUCGUACCCCAAACCGACACAGGUGGUCGGGUAGAGAAUACCAAGGCGCUUGAGAGAACUCGGGUGAAGGAACUAGGCAAAAUGGUACCGUAACUUCGGGAGAAGGUACGCUCUUGAUGGUGAAGUCCCUUGCGGAUGGAGCUGACGAGAGUCGCAGAUACCAGGUGGCUGCAACUGUUUAUUAAAAACACAGCACUGUGCAAAAUCGUAAGAUGACGUAUACGGUGUGACGCCUGCCCGGUGCCGGAAGGUUAAUUGAUGGGGUUAGACUUCGGUCGAAGCUCUUGAUCGAAGCCCCGGUAAACGGCGGCCGUAACUAUAACGGUCCUAAGGUAGCGAAAUUCCUUGUCGGGUAAGUUCCGACCUGCACGAAUGGCGUAAUGAUGGCCACGCUGUCUCCACCCGAGACUCAGUGAAAUUGAAAUCGCUGUGAAGAUGCAGUGUACCCGCGGCUAGACGGAAAGACCCCGUGAACCUUUACUACAGCUUGGCACUGAACAUUGACCCUACAUGUGUAGGAUAGGUGGGAGGCUUUGAAGCACGUACGCCAGUAUGUGUGGAGCCGUCCUUGAAAUACCACCCUUGUAGUGUUGAUGUUCUAACGUCGACCCCUAAUCGGGGUUGCGGACAGUGCCUGGUGGGUAGUUUGACUGGGGCGGUCUCCUCCCAAAGAGUAACGGAGGAGCACGAAGGUGGGCUAAUCACGGUUGGACAUCGUGAGGUUAGUGCAAUGGCAUAAGCCCGCUUGACUGCGAGAAUGACAAUUCGAGCAGGUGCGAAAGCAGGUCAUAGUGAUCCGGUGGUUCUGAAUGGAAGGGCCAUCGCUCAACGGAUAAAAGGUACUCCGGGGAUAACAGGCUGAUACCGCCCAAGAGUUCAUAUCGACGGCGGUGUUUGGCACCUCGAUGUCGGCUCAUCACAUCCUGGGGCUGAAGUCGGUCCCAAGGGUAUGGCUGUUCGCCAUUUAAAGUGGUACGCGAGCUGGGUUUAGAACGUCGUGAGACAGUUCGGUCCCUAUCUGCCGUGGGCGUUGGAAGAUUGAAGGGGGCUGCUCCUAGUACGAGAGGACCGGAGUGGACGAACCUCUGGUGUUCGGGUUGUGUCGCCAGACGCAUUGCCCGGUAGCUAAGUUCGGAAUCGAUAACCGCUGAAAGCAUCUAAGCGGGAAGCGAGCCCUGAGAUGAGUCUUCCCUGAUACUUUAAGUAUCCUAAAGGGUUGUCGGAGACUACGACGUUGAUAGGUCAGGUGUGUAAGUGCUGUGAGGCAUUGAGCUAACUGAUACUAAUUGCCCGUGAGGCUUAACCAUACAACACCCAAGGGGUUU